GGUCAAGUGACUAAGCGUAUACGGUGGAUGCCUUGGCAGUCAGAGGCGAUGAAGGACGUAGUAGCCUGCGAAAAGCUUCGGGGAGGUGGCAAACAACCUUUGAUCCGGAGAUGUCCGAAUGGGGAAACCCACCCAGUGUAAGCUGGGUAUCCUUAACUGAAUUCAUAGGUUAAGGAGGCGAACGCGGAGAACUGAAACAUCUAAGUACCCGUAGGAAUAGAAAUCAAUUGAGAUUCCCCCAGUAGCGGCGAGCGACCGGGGAACAGCCUGCAAGUGAUAGCAGCUGGGUUAGUGGAACACUCUGGAAAGGGUGGCGAUAGAGGGUGAUAGCCCCGUACACGAAAGCCUGGUUGUGGUACUGAGCUUGCGACAAGUAGGUCGGGACACGUGUUAUCCUGACUGAACAUGGGGGGACCAUCCUCCAAGGCUAAAUACUCCUGACUGACCGAUAGUGAACCAGUACCGUGAGGGAAAGGCGAAAAGAACCCCGGAGAGGGGAGUGAAAUAGAACCUGAAACCGUAUACGUACAAGCAGUGGGAGCACCUUCGUGGUGUGACUGCGUACCUUUUGUAUAAUGGGUCAGCGACUUAUUGUCUGUAGCGAGCUUAACCGUUUAGGGGAGGCGUAGGGAAACCGAGUCUUAAUAGGGCGACUUAGUUGCAGGCAAUAGACCCGAAACCGGGCGAUCUAGCCAUGGCCAGGUUGAAGGUGCCGUAACAGGCACUGGAGGACCGAACCCACUUAUGUUGAAAAAUGAGGGGAUGAGCUGUGGCUCGGAGUGAAAGGCUAAUCAAGCCCGGAGAUAGCUGGUUCUCCUCGAAAUCUAUUUAGGUAGAGCGUCGUGUCUUACCCUGGGGGGUAGAGCACUGUUUCGGCUAGGGGGUCAUCCCGACUUACCAACCCGAUGCAAACUCCGAAUACCCAGGAGUACAAUCACGGCAGACAGACAGCGGGUGCUAACGUCCGUUGUCGAGAGGGCAACAACCCAGACCGCCAGCUAAGGUCCCUAAUACCAGUUAAGUGGGAAACGAUGUGGGAAGGCUUAGACAGCUAGGAGGUUGGCUUAGAAGCAGCCACCCUUUAAAGAAAGCGUAAUAGCUCACUAGUCGAGUCGGCCUGCGCGGAAGAUAUAACGGGGCUAAAUUGGUAACCGAAGCUGCGGAUGCACACGCACCUCUAAACGCUAUUUGUUCACGCUUGUCGUUGACUGCCGAAGGCAGGUGACGACCAAGCGCCUCCGAACGUGGAGUUGGCCUGCUGGUCAAUAUCACUCGGAUAGAAUAGUAAAAGUAGCGUUUAGUGGUGUGUGUGCAUGGUAGAGGAGCGUUCUGUAAGCCUGUGAAGGUGUACCGGGAGGUAUGCUGGAGGUAUCAGAAGUGCGAAUGCUGACAUGAGUAACGAUAAGGGGGGUGAAAAACCUCCCCGCCGGAAGAUCAAGGUUUCCUGUCCAACGCUAAUCGGGACAGGGUGAGUCGGCCCCUAAGGCGAGGCAGAAAUGCGUAGUCGAUGGGAAGCGGGUUAAUAUUCCCGCACUUCUUAUUAUUGCGAUGGAGGGACGGAGAAGGCUAGGCCGGCGCGGUGUUGGUUGUCCGCGUUUAAGGUUGUAGGCUGGGGUUUUAGGUAAAUCCGGAACCCUAAGGCUGAGAACUUAUGACGAUCCCCUGGGGAGACCCUCGGGAGAAGUGGUUGAUGCCAUGCUUCCAAGAAAAGCUUCUAAGCAUAGAUAGUAAGGAACCGUACUGUAAACCGACACAGGUGAUCAGGUAGAGAAUACCAAGGCGCUUGAGAGAACUCGGGUGAAGGAACUAGGCAAAAUGGUACCGUAACUUCGGGAGAAGGUACGCCGACUUUGGUGAUGGGACUUGCUCCCUAAGCUGAGGUUGGUCGAAGUGACCAGGUGGCUGCGACUGUUUACUAAAAACAUAGCACUCUGCAAACACGAAAGUGGACGUAUAGGGUGUGACGCCUGCCCGGUGCCGGAAGGUUAAUUGAUGGGGUUAUCUUCGGAGAAGCUCUUGAUCGAAGCCCCGGUAAACGGCGGCCGUAACUAUAACGGUCCUAAGGUAGCGAAAUUCCUUGUCGGGUAAGUUCCGACCUGCACGAAUGGCGUAACGAUGGCCACACUGUCUCCACCCGAGACUCAGUGAAAUUGAAAUCGCUGUUAAGAUGCAGUGUACCCGCGGCUAGACGGAAAGACCCCGUGAACCUUUACUAUAGCUUCACACUGGACUUUGACCUUAUUUGUGUAGGAUAGCUGGGAGACUUUGAAGCGUGCGCGCCAGCGUACGUGGAGUCGUCCUUGAAAUACCAGCCUGGUAAUGUUGAGGUUCUAACCUAGGUCCCUUAUCGGGAUCGGGAACAGUGUGUGGUGGGUAGUUUGACUGGGGCGGUCUCCUCCCAAAGAGUAACGGAGGAGCACGAAGGUGCGCUAAUCAUGGUCGGAAAUCAUGAGGUUAGUGUAAAGGCACAAGCGCGCUUGACUGCGAGUCUGACAAGACGAGCAGGUACGAAAGUAGGUCUUAGUGAUCCGGCGGUUCUGAAUGGAAGGGCCGUCGCUCAACGGAUAAAAGGUACUCCGGGGAUAACAGGCUGAUACCGCCCAAGAGUUCACAUCGACGGCGGUGUUUGGCACCUCGAUGUCGGCUCAUCACAUCCUGGGGCUGAAGCCGGUCCCAAGGGUAUGGCUGUUCGCCAUUUAAAGUGGUACGCGAGCUGGGUUUAGAACGUCGUGAGACAGUUCGGUCCCUAUCUGCCGUGGGCGUUGGAGAAUUGAGGGAAGCUGCUCCUAGUACGAGAGGACCGGAGUGGACGAACCUCUGGUGUUCGGGUUGUGUCGCCAGACGCAUUGCCCGGUAGCUACGUUCGGACAGGAUAACCGCUGAAAGCAUCUAAGCGGGAAGCCUCUCCCAAGAUUAAUUCUCCCUGACCCCUUGAGGGUCCUGAAGGGCCGUAGAAGACUACUACGUUGAUAGGCUGGGUGUGUAAGCGCUGUGAGGCGUUGAGCUAACCAGUACUAAUUGCCCGUGAGGCUUGACCAU
RNAcentral lists this ribosomal RNA (3039 nucleotides) under Halioglobus sp. Its description in RNAcentral is "23S ribosomal RNA". It matches the Rfam family "Bacterial large subunit ribosomal RNA". The record is from RNAcentral. Lineage: Bacteria; Pseudomonadati; Pseudomonadota; Gammaproteobacteria; Cellvibrionales; Halieaceae.